GAUGAACGCUGGCGGCGUGCCUAAUACAUGCAAGUCGAGCGAACAGACCAUGAGCUUGCUCCUCUGACGUUAGCGGCGCGCGUGUGAGUAACACGUGUAUAACCUACCUAUCAUACUGGUAUAACUUCGGGACACCGGAUCUAAUACCGUAUAAUAUAUUGAACCGCAUGGUUCAAUAGUGAAAUACGGUUUUGCUGUCACUUAUAGAUGGAUCCGCGCCGCAUGAGAUAGUUGGUAAGGUAACGGCUUACCAAGGCAACGAUGCGUAGACGACCUGAGAGGGUGAUCGGCCACACUGGAACUGAGACACGGUCAAGACUACUACGGGAGGCAGCAGUAGGGAAUCUUCCGCAAUGGGCGAAAGCAUGACGGAGCAACGGCGAGUGAGUGAUGACGGUCUUCGGAGCGUAAAACUCUGUUAUUAGGGAAGAACAAAUGUGUAAGUAAAUAUGCACGUAUUGACGGUAACUAAUAAGAAAGCAACGGCUAACUACGUG
RNAcentral lists this ribosomal RNA (497 nucleotides) under uncultured bacterium. Its description in RNAcentral is "partial 16S ribosomal RNA". It matches the Rfam family "Bacterial small subunit ribosomal RNA", at positions 28 to 507 of the family's 1533-position model. The record is from RNAcentral.